GAUGAACGCUGGCGGCGUGCCUAAUACAUGCAAGUCGAGCGAACAGACGAGGAGCUUGCUCCUCUGACGUUAGCGACGGACGGGUGAGUAACACGUGGAUAACCUACCUAUAAGACGGGGAUAACUGCGGGAAACGGGAGCUAAUACCGGAUAAUAUAUGGAACAGCAUGGUUCAAUAGUGAAAGACGGUUUUGCUGUCACUUAUAGAUGGAUCCGCGCCGCAUUAGCUAGUUGGUAAGGUAACGGCUUACCAAGGCAACGAUGCGUAGCCGACCUGAGAGGGUGAUCGGCCACCCUGGAGCUGAGACGCGGUCCAUACUCCUGCGGGAGGCAGCAGUAGGGUAUCUUCCGCAGUGGUCGGAAGCCUUGCGGAGCGACGCCGCGUGAGUGAUGACGGUCUUCGGAUCGUAAAGCUCUGUUAUGAGUGAAAAACAACUUUGUAAGUAGCUAUGCACGUCUUGACGGUACCUAAUCAGAAAGCCACGGCUAACUACGUG
Molecule: ribosomal RNA, 497 nt
Filed under: uncultured bacterium
Lineage: Bacteria
Description: partial 16S ribosomal RNA
Rfam family: Bacterial small subunit ribosomal RNA
Source: RNAcentral